CCCUAUUUACAGAUGUUUAAAUUAGUGUUAUAAUAUAUAAUGUAUACAUACUAAUGCAACUGCGAAUAGCUGUUUAAUACAGUCGUAAUUGUAUUGACUUAGUAUAAUGUUAAUAAUAGUUAUUUAUAGGAUAACUAAGGGAAAGUUUGGCUAAUACGUUUUAACAGUAUUAUAAUUCUUAAUACACAUAUAAUAAUAUUAUAAUAUGAUAAAUUUUAUAUAAAUAUUUUAAUACAUUUAUUUGUAUUAAUAUAUAGAGUUGACUUUAUAAUAUUUAUUUAUUAUAAAGCAUGUCAAACAAGCAUCUAUAGCAUCAAGUCACAAUGUUGGCAUGUGUAUUAUUGAACCUUCAAAGCAUUUACGCAUUCGGAGGAGUAGUUUCUGAUCCCGUCGAAGGUGCCUGAGAGACGGCACUUAGUUCUAAGGAACGCAGCAGGCGCGUAAAUUGCCCAAUGACAAAACAUGUUAUAAUAAAAUAUAUAAUGUAUAUAUAUUGAAUACUCAAUAUUUAAUUGAGGCAGUGACAAGCUGUAAAGAUUGAAUAUAUUAAUUAAGAUAACAUUUGGAAUUGUCGUUUUAUAAUAUUUUUUAAUAUUAUAUUACUUGAUAAUAUACCAAUGUUAUAAAAUAUUCAAUUUGAAUGCGGUGAAUGUAAUAAUUUCAAGUAACAUGUAUAAAAUAUUUAUAUUUUAUUAGUUAUCUGAAUUUUCAAGUGGAGGGCAAGUCUGGUGCCAGCAGCCGCGGUAAUACCAGCUCCACUAGCUUAUACAAUCAUUGUUGCGGUUAAGAGGCUCGUAGUUGGAUUGAAUAAAACAUAUAUACACAAUACUGUGAACAAACCAGAGUGUAUAAAACAUGUAAUAUAUUAUAUAUUUAGCAAUGAAUGUUUUAUCAUGGAAUAUUGCUAUAAUGAAUAUUAAUAUCGAUGGAGAUAGUUGGAGUUAAGAGUACUGAUAGGCGAGCGGUGAAAUGCAUUGACCCUAUUAAGACUAACAAAAGCGAAAGCACUUAACUAGAUUAUUCUCUUUGUAUUAUUUUACAAUGAAGAGCGAAGGUUGGGGGAACAAAGAGGAUCAGAUACCCUCGUAGUCCUAUUUUUACAUCAAACUAUGGGAUUUCAUUCACACUAAACACUAAACAUUAUAAUUAUAAUUAUGAUUGAGUAUAUGUCAAAAUAUUACUCUCAUAUUAAAUAAUUAUUAUAUAUAUGAUUAUAUGUACUUUGAGCUCAUAUAAUUAUAUAGGUGAGAUGUAAGCAUUAUAAAGUGAAUAAUAUACAAGUAAUAUUGUAUUAUUAUGAUCUUUAAAAUAAAAAAUGUAAUGUGAUGCACGUUUUAGGUACGAGCUUACUAUAGAAAUAUUUAAAAUAAUACCCUCCUGGGGUAGUAUGCACGCAAGUGUGAAACUUGAAGGAAUUGACGGAAGGGCACCACAAGAACGCGUGGAGCAUGUGGCUUAAUUUGACUCAACCCGGGAAAUCUUACCAGGUCCAGACAUAUUGAGGAUUGACAGGCGAUAGUAUAUAAUUCAUUUAUAUGCAUAAAAAUGAUAGUCCUUUCAUGAUUAUAUGAUAGGUGGUGCAUGGCCGUUCUUAGUUCGUGGAGUGAUUUGUCUGCUUAAUUGCGUUUCAGUAAAUAAAAUAUAUAAUAUAUUAUAAUAUUUAGUUCUGCCUUGAAUAUUAUUCAAGGAUUUAAAGUGAACAUA
This 1704-nucleotide ribosomal RNA is filed under the name Marginopora vertebralis. RNAcentral's name for it is "SSU rRNA". It matches the Rfam family "Eukaryotic small subunit ribosomal RNA", at positions 65 to 1408 of the family's 1831-position model. The record is from RNAcentral. Lineage: Eukaryota; Foraminifera; Miliolida; Soritidae.